Long non-coding RNA from Protopterus annectens (West African lungfish), 766 nucleotides. RefSeq lists it as uncharacterized. NCBI's taxonomy places the organism in Eukaryota, Metazoa, Chordata, Ceratodontiformes, Protopteridae. The transcript is spliced from 3 exons. The record is from RefSeq and is a predicted model, not a curated record.
AAUAGCUGCAGAAAACAUCAACAAGGAAAGAACAUUAUGGGGGACUUCAUACUAGUGUCAUAUUUCCUUGCUUUUAGUGAGUGGGUGACUGUAAUAAAGGAUAUUUUUUCUGGCAUGCACUGAAAUUGAGAUACUAAAAGAUUUUGCAAAUCAAGUCAGCUAAACACGAAACGCGAGGAUUAGUGGCAGUCUGGUCUGCUCAGAAAAGAAUGCAUACAGAGAAUAAAUAAUACAACACUAUUAUAUAUAGUAUUUUCAUAGUACAGGGAAAGGAGUACCUCGGAAAAGAUGAAGAAAAUCAUUGCAUUGCUUUGCUUCUUAUAUUUACAUGCUCGCUGGAAUGUUUUUGUUAAAAUAUGCAAUUCCUGAUUGGAGCUCUGUUUUAAAACAGCACAGCAAUCUAAUACUUUAUUAUUCAGGGGAAACUGUUCUAUUGUCUACUUUAUGCAUCAGAGAGAAAGAAAUUAAGAAAGUCUUCUAUUUGCCAUCCUGAUGCCCAGGAACUCUGUUUAAAUCAAGCUACUUAGAUUCAAUGUCCAGAUCUGGGUCAGUGACAUCACAGCUACAAGAAUAUAAUUGCUUCUGAUCUGGUGAAAAUCUUCAAGUUACAUAAAUAUUCAUCUCAGCCGCCUGAAAGUUGAACAGAUUCAAAGGUAUUUCAAAGAAGCUGGAGAAAACCUACACAAAUACAGAGAAGACAUGCAAACUCUGCAUAGAAGCCCCCCUUCCCCAGCUGAGAACUGAACUAGAGAAAAUCUGUUGGUAU